AUUGAACGCUGGCGGUAUGCUUAACACAUGCAAGUCGAACGGCAGCGCGCUAGUUUCUUCGGAAACUGGUGGCGGCGAGUGGCGGACGGGUGAGUAACGCGUAGGAAUCUACUCUAAAGUGGGGGAUAACUCGAGGAAACUCGAGCUAAUACCGCAUAUGUUCUACGGAAUAAAGCUGGGGACCGUUUCGGCGGCCUGGUGCUUUAGAAUGAGCCUGCGUCAGAUUAGCUUGUUGGUGGGGUAAUGGCCUACCAAGGCAACGAUCUGUAGCUGGUCUGAGAGGACGAUCAGCCACACUGGGACUGAGACACGGCCCAGACUCCUACGGGAGGCAGCAGUGGGGAAUAUUGGACAAUGGGCGAAAGCCUGAUCCAGCAAUACCGCGUGUGUGAAGAAGGCCUUAGGGUUGUAAAGCACUUUCAGUAGAGAAGAAAUGCUCAAGGUUAAUACCCUUGAGAGUUGACCUAACCUACAGAAGAAGCACCGGCUAACUCUGUGCCAGCCGCCGCCGUAACAC
This 517-nucleotide ribosomal RNA is filed under the name uncultured bacterium. RNAcentral's name for it is "bacterial SSU rRNA". It matches the Rfam family "Bacterial small subunit ribosomal RNA", at positions 30 to 526 of the family's 1533-position model. The record is from RNAcentral.